This 308-nucleotide long non-coding RNA is filed under the name Solanum tuberosum (potato). RNAcentral's name for it is "long non-coding RNA (STUB_LNC009394)". Lineage: Eukaryota; Viridiplantae; Streptophyta; Magnoliopsida; Solanales; Solanaceae. The record is from RNAcentral.
CGGGAUACAUAGCGUUGUGCACGAGAUACAUUAGGUUUGAUACAUUCCACAUAGUGGGAUACAUAGCGUUGUGCACGGGAUACAUUAGGUUUGAUACAUUCCACAUAGCGGGAUACCUAGCGUUGUGCACGGGAUACAUGCGAGAUACAUAGUGUUGUGCAUGGGAUACAUAGUGUUUGAUACAUUCCACAUAGUGGGAUACAUAGCGUUGUGCACGAGAUACAUGCGGGAUACAUAGGUAAAAUAAGGGAUUUUUGAAUUUUUUGAAAUAAGUAGGGAUAAAUAGAUAUUAAGGUAAGUAAAGGAGU